RNAcentral lists this ribosomal RNA (339 nucleotides) under uncultured Glomus. Its description in RNAcentral is "SSU rRNA". It matches the Rfam family "Eukaryotic small subunit ribosomal RNA", at positions 569 to 915 of the family's 1831-position model. Lineage: Eukaryota; Fungi; Glomeromycota; Glomeromycetes; Glomerales; Glomeraceae. The record is from RNAcentral.
AGCAGCCGCGGUAAUUCCAGCUCCAAUAGCGUAUAUUAAAGUUGCUGCAGUUAAAAAGCUCGUAGUUGAAUUUCGGGACUAAUAUGUCGGUCGUGCCUCGGUACGUACUGGCUUAUUGGUUUCUCCUUUCUGAAGAACCAUGAUGUCAUUUAUUUGGUGUCGUGGGGAAUCAGGACUGUUACUUUGAAAAAAUUGAGUGUUUAAAGCAGGCUCACGCUUGAAUACAUUAGCAUGGAAUAAUGAAAUAGGACGUUUGAUUCUAUUUUGUUGGUUUCUAGGAUCGACGUAAUGAUUAAUAGGGAUAGUUGGGGGCAUUAGUAUUCAAUUGUCAGGAGGUAG